AAGUCGUAACAAGGUUUCCGUAGGUGAACCUGCGGAAGGAUCAUUACCGAGUUCAUGCCCUUACGGGUAGAUCUCCCACCCUUUGUAUACUAUACCUUUGUUGCUUUGGCGGGCCGCCUAGCUACUGGCUUCGGCUGGUAAGUGCCCGCCAGAGGAUCCAAAACCCUGAAUUAUUAGUGUCGUCUGAGUAAAAUAUUUAAUAUUUAAAACUUUCAACAACGGAUCUCUUGGCUCUG
This 236-nucleotide unclassified non-coding RNA is filed under the name Tetracladium marchalianum. RNAcentral's name for it is "partial internal transcribed spacer region". The stretch from base 1 to 46 matches the Rfam family "Eukaryotic small subunit ribosomal RNA", at positions 1786 to 1831 of the family's 1831-position model. Lineage: Eukaryota; Fungi; Ascomycota; Leotiomycetes; Helotiales. RNAcentral also lists the same sequence under 1 other name. The record is from RNAcentral.